Molecule: ribozyme, 73 nt
Filed under: unclassified sequences
Description: HDV ribozyme from F. prausnitzii
Rfam family: HDV ribozyme from F. prausnitzii
Source: RNAcentral
GCUGCUAGAAAUUUUGCACACCUUUUCGUGGUGAGCAGCAGGCAACGGUCUUAUGAUCGGCGAAGAUGUGAGA